GGGGACGUAGCUCAGGGGUAGAGCGCUCGCUUUGCAUGCGAGAUGUCCCGGGUUCAAUUCCCGGCGUCUCCA
This is a non-coding RNA of Drosophila sulfurigaster albostrigata, 72 nucleotides long. The record is from the annotation of a RefSeq genome assembly. Lineage: Eukaryota; Metazoa; Arthropoda; Insecta; Diptera; Drosophilidae.